Molecule: unclassified non-coding RNA, 1345 nt
Filed under: Priapulus caudatus
Lineage: Eukaryota; Metazoa; Priapulida; Priapulimorpha; Priapulimorphida; Priapulidae
Description: vesicle-trafficking protein SEC22b-like, transcript variant X1
Source: RNAcentral
AGUUCCGGUUCCGCUCUGCAAGUGAGAAGUUUUUGGCCACGUCAGCUUUCCAGGUUUUUAAUGCAUUUGUUGUAAUAAAUUGCAGUUAUUUAACGACGUAAACCAAGGGAAAAGACAGAAGAUGGUGUUACUUACGAUGAUCGCGAGAGUGGCAGAUGGGCUGCCCUUGUGUGCCUCAAUCCAAGAAGACGAACAGACAGGAAGAAAUAUGCUUGAAUAUCAGAACCAAGCCAAAAUGCUAUUCCGAAAAAUAAAUGAACAGUCACCAAUUCGCUGCAGUAUUGAAACGGGUCCAUAUGUAUUUCAUUACGUGAUGAACGCGGGUGUCUGCUUUCUGGUACUGUGUGACCAGAAUUUUUCCAAGCGUGUCGCAUUCUCUUACCUGGAAGACCUACGGAAUGAGUUUGACCAGCAGCAUGGCAGCAAAGUACAAAGUGUGGCGAGGCCCUACAGCUUCAUAGAAUUCGAUACAUACAUUCAGAAGGCGAAAAAGAAUUUCACGGACUCACGAGCACGGCGGAACCUGGUGAACAUCAACACAGAACUGCAGGAUGUUCAGAGAAUCAUGGUGCAGAAUAUAGAUGAUGUGUUACAGAGGGGUGAAGCCCUGUCAGUAUUGGAUGAUAAAGCCAGCAACUUGUCAACGAUGUCACAAAAGUACAAGAAAGAUGCAAGAUAUCUGAACCUGAGAUCGUCAUAUGCCAAAAUUGGUGCAGUGGUUCUUGUUGUUGUUUUGUUCAUGUUAUUUGUGAGGUAUUGGUUAUUCUAGGAUGUAACAGUCAUGGGCCUCAGGUGUUAUGAUGUAUAACAAUCAAGUAUAUUGAAACAAACGUAGAGAUCGUGCAGGUGGUUAAGCUAAAUCAACAGUAUGACCAUGGCUUAUCAUAAACCACAUACAGAAGCCAAAAUUGAAGUAUUUAAAUUUAUCGAAUGUGGUAAUGUCACGUUAUUGGUACAGGUAAUUUCUUAAGGGUGUCUUUUUGUCUGUUCUUUUUGGAAGCCUCUCGGGAUGCUUUUAUGGAAAUAUUUCCGUUUCUACCCAUAGAAAGAAGGAUAUAGCAAUAUGUAGUUAUAUACACAUUGAUCAUAUAGGUAAUGAAUGUAAGGAGUUUGUUGUUCAGCUUACGCCUACACUGUUGCUGAUAUUUAGACAGGGUUAUAAUCAAUGUUGCAGCAUUGAUUUCACAUAAAGUUAUGGCAUUCCAGUUGCAGGCUUCUUUUAUCAUUUUAUUAAUAAGGGGGAUGGAGGUCUAUUAGAGGAUGUUUGGAAUAUUAAAGCCGCACUAUGCGCAUCCAAACGAUAAUUUCUCCAUACUAGACUAGCAAAUACUUCGUGUCAUGCAUA